AUUGAACGCUGGCGGCAGGCUUAACACAUACAAGUCGAGCGGAGAUGAGGUGCUUGCACCUUAUCUUAGCGGCGGACGGGUGAGUAAUGCUUAGGAAUCUGCCUAUUAGUGGGGGACAACAUUCCGAAAGGAAUGCUAAUACCGCAUACGUCCUACGGGAGAAAGCAGGGGAUCUUCGGACCUUGUGCUAAUAGAUGAGCCUAAGUCGGAUUAGCUAGUUGGUGGGGUAAAGGCCUACCAAGGCGACGAUCUGUAGCGGGUCUGAGAGGAUGAUCCGCCACACUGGAACGGAGACACGGCCCAGACUCCUACGGGAGGUAGCAGUGGGGAAUAUUGGACAAUGGGGGAAACCCUGAUCCAGCCAUGCCGCGUGUGUGAAGAAGGCCUUAUGGUUGUAAAGCACUUUAAGCGAGGAGGAGGCUACUGAGACUAAUACUCUUGGAUAGUGGACGUUACUCGCGGAAUAAGCACCGGCUAACUCUGUGCCAGCAGCCGCCGUAA
This 501-nucleotide ribosomal RNA is filed under the name uncultured bacterium. Its description in RNAcentral is "partial 16S ribosomal RNA". It matches the Rfam family "Bacterial small subunit ribosomal RNA", at positions 30 to 523 of the family's 1533-position model. The record is from RNAcentral.